Molecule: ribosomal RNA, 200 nt
Filed under: uncultured bacterium
Lineage: Bacteria
Description: partial 16S ribosomal RNA
Rfam family: Bacterial small subunit ribosomal RNA
Source: RNAcentral
UACGGGGGGGGGCAAGCGUUGUUCGGAAUUACUGGGCGUAAAGGGCUGGUAGGCGGCCAACUAAGUCGGAUGUGAAAUCCCCCAGGCUUAACCUGGGAACUGCAUCCGAUACUGGUCGGCUUGAAUCCGGGAGAGGGAUGCAGAAUUCCAGGUGUAGCGGUGAAAUGCGUAGAUAUCUGGAGGAAUACCGGUGGCGAAGG